RNAcentral lists this ribosomal RNA (253 nucleotides) under uncultured bacterium. RNAcentral describes it as "partial 16S ribosomal RNA". It matches the Rfam family "Bacterial small subunit ribosomal RNA", at positions 524 to 776 of the family's 1533-position model. The record is from RNAcentral.
UACGUAGGGUGCAAGCGUUGUCCGGAAUUAUUGGGCGUAAAGAGCUCGUAGGCGGUUCGUCGCGUCGGCUGUGAAAACCCGGAGCUCAACUCCGGGCCUGCAGUCGAUACGGGCGGACUUGAGUGUUGCAGGGGAGACUGGAAUUCCUGGUGUAGCGGUGAAAUGCGCAGAUAUCAGGAGGAACACCAAUGGCGAAGGCAGAUCUCUGGGCCGUAACUGACGCUGAGGAGCGAAAGCAUGGGGAGCGAACAGG